RNAcentral lists this unclassified non-coding RNA (235 nucleotides) under plant metagenome. Its description in RNAcentral is "partial contains small subunit ribosomal RNA, internal transcribed spacer 1, and 5.8S ribosomal RNA". The stretch from base 1 to 54 matches the Rfam family "Eukaryotic small subunit ribosomal RNA", at positions 1778 to 1831 of the family's 1831-position model. The record is from RNAcentral.
GGAAGUAAAAGUCAUAACAAGGUUUCCGUAGGUGAACCUGCGGAAGGAUCAUUCAUAAUAAGUGUUUUAUGGCACUUUUUUAAAUCCAUAUCCACCUUGUGUGCAAUGUCAGGGUUGAUUUUUCUCUCGAGAGGAUCAACCCCAAACAUCAACUAUAUCUCAACUCUUUGUCUGAAAAAUAUUAUGAAUAAAACAAUUCAAAAUACAACUUUCAACAACGGAUCUCUUGGCUCUC